RNAcentral lists this ribosomal RNA (619 nucleotides) under Fellozyma inositophila. Its description in RNAcentral is "eukaryotic LSU rRNA". It matches the Rfam family "Eukaryotic large subunit ribosomal RNA", at positions 47 to 663 of the family's 3401-position model. The record is from RNAcentral. Lineage: Eukaryota; Fungi; Basidiomycota; Microbotryomycetes; Chrysozymaceae.
UAAGCGGAGGAAAAGAAACUAACAAGGAUUCCCCUAGUAACGGCGAGUGAAGCGGGAAGAGCUCAAAUUUGUAAUCUGGCACCAUCGGUGUCCGAGUUGUAAUCUCGAGAAGUGUUUUCCGCGCCGGACCGCAUAUAAGUCUGUUGGAAUACAGCGUCAUAGUGGUGAGAACCCCGUAACUGAUGCGGAUGCCCGGUGCUUUGUGAUACACUUUCGAAGAGUCGAGUUGUUUGGGAAUGCAGCUCAAAUUGGGUGGUAAAUUCCAUCUAAAGCUAAAUAUUGGCGAGAGACCGAUAGCGAACAAGUACCGUGAGGGAAAGAUGAAAAGCACUUUGGAAAGAGAGUUAACAGUACGUGAAAUUGUUGGAAGGGAAACGCUUGAAGUCAGACUUGCUAUUUGGAGUUCAGCCGCAAGGUGUAUUCUUCGAUUUGCAGGCCAGCAUCAGUUUUCUGGGGUGGAAAAGGGUAUUGAGAAGGUAGCAGUUUCGGCUGUGUUAUAGCUCUUUGCUGGAUUCAUCCUGGGGGACUGAGGAACGCAGCGCGCUUUUUGCAAGGCCUUCGGGCUUUUCGUGCUUAGGAUGCUGGUGGAAUGGCUUUAAACGACCCGUCUUGAAACACG